AGUGAACGCUGGCGGUAGGCCUAACACAUGCAAGUCGAACGGCAGCACAGUAAGAGCUUGCUCUUACGGGUGGCGAGUGGCGGACGGGUGAGGAAUACAUCGGAAUCUACUUUUUCGUGGGGGAUAACGUAGGGAAACUUACGCUAAUACCGCAUACGACCUACGGGUGAAAGCAGGGGAUCUUCGGACCUUGCGCGAUUGAAUGAGCCGAUGUCGGAUUAGCUAGUUGGCGGGGUAAAGGCCCACCAAGGCGACGAUCCGUAGCUGGUCUGAGAGGAUGAUCAGCCACACUGGAACUGAGACACGGUCCAGACUCCUACGGGAGGCAGCAGUGGGGAAUAUUGGACAAUGGGCGCAAGCCUGAUCCAGCCAUACCGUGUGGUUGAAGAAGGCCUUCGGGUUGUAAAGCCCUUUUGUUGGGAAAGAAAAGCAGCAGGUUAAUACCCCGCUGUUCUGACGGUACCCAAAGAAUAAGCACCGGCUAACUUCGUG
This 492-nucleotide ribosomal RNA is filed under the name uncultured bacterium. RNAcentral's name for it is "partial 16S ribosomal RNA". It matches the Rfam family "Bacterial small subunit ribosomal RNA", at positions 29 to 507 of the family's 1533-position model. The record is from RNAcentral.